AGGAUGAACGCUGGCGGCGUGCUUAACACAUGCAAGUCACGGGGGCCCAGCAAUGGGUAACCGGCGAACGGGUGCGUAACACGUGAGCAACCUACCUAAGUGAGGGGGAUAGCCGGGCCAACGCCCGGGUAAUACCGCAUACGCUCGAGGAGAGGCAUUUCAUCUCGAGGAAACCUACGGGGCACUAUGAGGGGCUCGCGGCCUAUCAGCUAGUUGGUGAGGUAACGGCUCACCAAGGCGACGACGGGUAGC
This 252-nucleotide ribosomal RNA is filed under the name uncultured soil bacterium. RNAcentral describes it as "partial 16S ribosomal RNA". It matches the Rfam family "Bacterial small subunit ribosomal RNA", at positions 26 to 287 of the family's 1533-position model. The record is from RNAcentral.